UUGCCUACGGGGCGCAGCAGUGGGGAAUAUUGCACAAUGGGGGAAACCCUGAUGCAGCAACGCCGCGUGAGUGAAGAAGUAUUUCGGUAUGUAAAGCUCUAUCAGCAGGGAAGAAAAUGACGGUACCUGAGUAAGAAGCCCCGGCUAACUACGUGCCAGCAGCCGCGGUAAUACGUAGGUGGCAAGCGUUAUCCGGAUUUACUGGGUGUAAAGGGCGUGUAGGCGGGACUGCAAGUCAGAUGUGAAAACCACGGGCUCAACCUGUGGCCUGCAUUUGAAACUGUAGUUCUUGAGUACUGGAGAGG
This 305-nucleotide ribosomal RNA is filed under the name uncultured bacterium. RNAcentral describes it as "bacterial SSU rRNA". It matches the Rfam family "Bacterial small subunit ribosomal RNA", at positions 335 to 657 of the family's 1533-position model. The record is from RNAcentral.